Gavialis gangeticus (Gharial) is the source of this 1814-nucleotide long non-coding RNA. RefSeq lists it as uncharacterized. The record is from RefSeq and is a predicted model, not a curated record. NCBI's taxonomy places the organism in Eukaryota, Metazoa, Chordata, Crocodylia, Gavialidae. The transcript is spliced from 3 exons.
UUCCUCUAUACUGGAAGUGGUGGUGGCCCCGAGGGACACAGUUCGCCUAGGGCGCCACUUACCCUUGGACCAGCCCUGAAUGCAGGGCAAUAUCAAGGAGCCUUAUCAGCCCAGUUGUACUGCAGAAAGGAGAAUUGGGAUUUUUUUUUUUCUUAAACAGAAACUCAGUAUUAUUUAUUGGCACUCCCCCUGCAGGACAGGAAACGGCUUGCAGGAGAGGAGGCAUUCGCCAUCCCGAGGUUUUGAUAAAACUCUCUCUCAGAAAUGGACGGAUGCUCCUUGUGCGCGGCACCCUCCCACCAAGGAGCGCUUGCACUUUCACAUGGGCACCUCCCGGAUUUGAUCUCUGCUUGCUAACCAGAGUCUGGUAGAAGCAGUUUAAGUCUGUUUGACUGUCCCUGUCAUCAUAAGGUUUACGGAUGGUUAAUUUAUUCUUUAUAGCACAGUCAUUGAUGGCUGUUAAAUCACAAAUGAGAGCCAAUAAAGGGUGAAUUGCAGCUGAAAUUACACUGUUUAUAUGACAGCAGAGUGCCGGCUAAAAGAUUCAUAUGCCGCUGAUGAAGUACGUUAUAAAUUUUAAUUACCAUAGUUUGUACAAAUGACAUGUUUGAAAUGCUAUUGAGUAAUGUGACCCUGAUAAUGAAACUAUAAAAUAAAUCAUUAACUUUCUGAAUGAGCUUUUUUAUUUCCAUGCUACAUGAAGUAAACUUUCCAAUUUAUUCCACUAUAGCCUUCUAAAAAAAAAAAAAAAAAGAAAUGUUACCAGCCACCUCCUUCACUGGAAGGGACACACUGGCACCCAGACUGGGACAGAGCUGGACUGGAGUAUGUUGCAAUGGCCAGGAGGGAGAACAGCCAAAGCACCAGAAGUACUAGCAGGGUCUCUCUUCUUAUUGUCAAAUGAGGAGUUCCUCCUCCAAAUACAUCUGGAUUAGCAGGGGGGAGUGCUAGGGAUUGAGAAUAAAAUCUCCCCUCCCCCUCCUCCUAGAUACAGAAGGGAAGAAAAUCUGUAUUAAAGUUGGGAUGUAAUUAUAGCUCAGCCUUUGUCAUCAGUUUUGAAAUCCAAAUCAUUAAAGGCUGCCUGCGGGGCUCCCCUUGGGUCUUUUGAAGCAGGAGCCGAGGUGCCUCGUGGCAAAUCUUUCAAGAAGAGACCUGGGUAAUUCUUCUGGAUGUGACUACCAAAGGUGAAGGAGUCGAGAGCUGCUGUGUGGGCCGGGCAAAGGAUUUCCGGGGAGCUUCCCUAGGUGAGAUGUCCCUACCAAGUGAGUCAUGCUCUGUGCUGCAAGAGGAAGAUGAAAACCUGACGCAGUCUCUGCCAGUCCGACCAGGAGGCAAGUUGCUUCCUGACCCCAAGCCUGAUGACCGGCUGGCCAGCCCCUGGAGACCCUGCUGGAGGUCCUGUUGUCCUAGGCACUGUACAGAUGCAUGGUGAUGGACUUCCCCAUCUCAAACAUACCACAGGCUACUGGACGAGACGAUCAAAGGGCAGGACACGGAGAAGGUGAGUGACUUGACCGUUGUCCCCAGAUGAAUCAGCGGCAGGGCCAGGAACCAAACUUACCCCAGCUGACCCCUUAGUCAACCCGCCAUCCACUAGACUUCUCUCUGCCUAGGUGCUUAAAGUUCCUGGUAAGAUUAUAUACAUCUUGGGAGUGGGUGGUGACAUGCAUAAAUAAAUAAUAAAUGCCUAAAUAAAUAAUAAAUGCAUAAUUACCAAGAAAGCAUUAGGGGUUACAUACGAGAUGACUUUGGCCCCAUCUGUGUUUUUCACCAUCAUUUAAAAACAGUUUAUAUUCCCCAAUGCAAGAGGCAUA